RNAcentral lists this transfer-messenger RNA (381 nucleotides) under Enterobacteriaceae (enterobacteria). RNAcentral describes it as "Mikella sp900090215 Standard tmRNA". It matches the Rfam family "transfer-messenger RNA". Rfam says of the family: Bacterial tmRNA, also known as 10Sa RNA or SsrA, is named for its dual tRNA and mRNA-like properties. Its role is to liberate the mRNA from a stalled ribosome. Lineage: Bacteria; Pseudomonadati; Pseudomonadota; Gammaproteobacteria; Enterobacterales. RNAcentral also lists the same sequence under 1 other name. The record is from RNAcentral.
GGGGCUGAUUUAUGGAUUUGACGAAAUUUGCGAAACCUAAGGUGCAUGUCGAGGUGAGGUUUGCCUCGUAAAAAGCCUCAAAAAAAUAAAUGCAAAUCAAUUGCAAUAUGAAUCUGCUUUAGCAGCUUAAUCAGUUUAAUAAACUGAAGAUUCCCUUUCUAUCCUCUAUUUUCUCUUUAAAAGGAAUUUAAGAAAGGUUACAAAUAAAAGAGAUCGCGUUAAAUUUUUGUCUGAGGAUAAAACGUUAAAUUUAAUCAGACUAAUUUAUUAGUAUAACGUGUCAGUUCGUUAUUAAUAAUUAAAAUUUAAAAUUGUACUAAACAUGUAGUGCUAAAGAAGUAGAAAUUUCGGACGCGGGUUCAAAUCCCGCCAGCUCCACCA